GGAAAGUAAAUAAGUGAUGAACCCAUUGGGUCGUCACAUCCUCCAUCACUAAAAUAAAUGUUCGUCCUUGAACAUACAAAAGAAAGAAGUACAUGAGUCCGGAAAAAGGUGAAAAUAACGGCUCCGCAUAUCAGACUCGGACUCCCAGGUCGAUGCCUCAAAAGGAUGACCUCUCCAUUGGACCCGAACAGAAAGAAAUAUCUUGGACCUUAAUUGACGAACCUGCCUGUCUAGGAUAGCUACUGGCUCCUCCUCAUCGGACAAGUCCUAGUCCAACUAGACAGUGCUAAAAUCUAACACAUAGGCUGGAUCGCCGUGAUACCUCCGGAGCAUGGACACAUGGAAAACUGGAUGCACGGCUGAUAAGCUAGGUGGUAAUGUGAGUAUAUAAGCCACCUCUCCCACUCUAUCAAGAAUUUGGAACGGACCAAUGUACCUAGGGCUAAGCUUGCCCUUCUUCCAAAAUCUCAUCACGCCCUUCAUCGGGGAUACUUAGAGCAACACCCGCUCCCCAACCAUAAAUGCUACGUCACGAACCUUGAAAUCUGCAUCUCUUCUGCCUAGAGUGAGCUGAAUGAAGCCUAUCCUAAAUGAUAUUGACCUUGUCCAAGGCCUCCUGAACAAAAUCUGUACCUAGCAACCGAGCCUUCCUCUACUCAAACCAUCCAACGGGUGAUCGACACCGUUUACCAUAUAGAGCCUCGUAAGGGGCCAUCUGGAUGCUCGACUGGUAGCUGUUGUUGUAGGCGAACACUGUUAAUGGCAAGAGCUGAUCCCAUGACCCUCCAAAAUAAAUCUCACACGCAGGGAGCAUGUCCUCAAGUAUCUGGAUAGUGCCGCUCAGACUGUCCGUCCGUCUAGGGGUG
This 866-nucleotide long non-coding RNA is filed under the name Nicotiana benthamiana. Its description in RNAcentral is "long non-coding RNA (NBEN_LNC027479)". The record is from RNAcentral. Lineage: Eukaryota; Viridiplantae; Streptophyta; Magnoliopsida; Solanales; Solanaceae.